AACGGAGUAGCAAUACUUAGUGGCGGACGGGUGAGUAACGCGUAAGAAUCUAGCUUCAGGUUCGGGACAACAAUUGGAAACGAUUGCUAAUACCGGAUAUGCCUACGGGUAAAAGGCUUGCUGCCUGAAGAAGAGCUUGCGUCCGAUUAGCUAGUUGGUGGGGUAAAGGCUUACCAAGGCGGCGAUCGGUAGCUGGUCUGAGAGGAUGACCAGCCACACUGGGACUGAGACAAGGCCCAGACUCCUACGGGAGGCAGCAGUGGGGAAUUUUCCGCAAUGGGCGAAAGCCUGACGGAGCAAUACCGCGUGAGGGAAGAAGGCUCUUGGGUUGUAAACCUCUUUUCUCAGGGAAUAAAAAAAUGAAGGUACCUGAGGAAUAAGCAUCGGCUAACUCCGUGCCAGCAGCCGCGGUAAUACGGAGGAUGCAAGCGUUAUCCGGAAUGAUUGGGCGUAAAGCGUCCGCAGGUGGUACAACAAGUCUAGUGUCAAAGACCGGGGCUCAACCCCGGGAAGGC
This 515-nucleotide ribosomal RNA is filed under the name uncultured cyanobacterium. RNAcentral describes it as "bacterial SSU rRNA". It matches the Rfam family "Bacterial small subunit ribosomal RNA", at positions 65 to 624 of the family's 1533-position model. Lineage: Bacteria; Bacillati; Cyanobacteriota. The record is from RNAcentral.